RNAcentral lists this ribosomal RNA (245 nucleotides) under uncultured Chlamydiales bacterium. RNAcentral's name for it is "partial 16S ribosomal RNA". It matches the Rfam family "Bacterial small subunit ribosomal RNA", at positions 90 to 323 of the family's 1533-position model. The record is from RNAcentral. Lineage: Bacteria; Pseudomonadati; Chlamydiota; Chlamydiia; Chlamydiales.
GUCUAGUGGCGGAAGGGUUAGUAAUGCGUAGAUAAUUUGUCCUUAACUUGGGAAUAACGGUUAGAAAUGGCCGCUAAUACCGAAUGUGGUGUGAUCAGGCAUCUGAGAGCAUUAAAGAAGGGGAUCUUCGGACCUUUUGGUUGAGGGGGAGUCUAUGUGAUAUCAGCUAGUUGGUAAGGUAAGAGCUUACCAAGGCUAUGACGUCUAGGCGGGUUGAGAGAUUGACCGCCAACCCUGGGACUGAA